AUGUUACUUUAAAAAAAAAUAUAAAAAAAAUUACACGUCAUAGUAUCUAAGCAACCAAUCAAAAUUCAGCCUUUCUUGUCAAGAUCAAUGUACAUUCUAAUUUUACUGUUUUAACUGUCAGAUUGUCUGCACAGAUUUUCUUUCUUAUUUCAAUUGCAUAGGUGUCAGUGGAAACAGAUCUAGAGAUUGGUUAGAACCGCCUGAGUUGUAGAGGGGAUCAGUGUCAUUGUGGUCAGCAGACUAUUGUUGGAUCAAAACUCGGACUUAACGAUGCAAACGAUAAUUUUGCCAAAUCUAUGUGAGAGAUGGUUGAAUAGUCAAGGCAAACAUUUUCAAGGUGUAAACGUCUCAAAGUUACAUCUUUCAUGCAAAGACUUGGAAUGGAUGACUUUAUUAAAAAAACAUGAACAGCUAGACAUGUCGAGAACAGUGAACAUCAUUUUUCAACCUCGUCACCAAAACGCUUUUUAUGAUCUGCGUGCGUCUCAAGACUUCGCAGCCAAAAGGAAAGUGACUUUAUUGCAGCUGUUGGUCAAAGGGUUAAGAAACGCAAAUACAUCUUUCGACAUGCCAGGUAGCAGGAUCAUUUGUCGCUUUAAAAGAUUGUUUAAUAGAGUUACACAGACAAACAGAUUGAAAGUUUAGUUCUGUGAAUUUUUGAUAGGUACACCAAACAAAGAGCUACUGAUAUGCCAUAAUAGUCAACUUCCCGCUGAGGCGAAAGCUAUAUUUGGGAACUAUUUAUGGAUAGAUCCUGGAAAGGAUGUACAUUUUGAACGUCUUCCUAAACAGGCGUUUAAUAGUCUUGAAAAUAAGGGAAUCAUUCGCGAUUCAGCUACAAUUAAAAUGUUUGAGAAUCAGUAUAUAGGACAGUUUCAUUGUACAGCUACUUUAAGAGGUGAUGUAGCUUUCGACGGUUAUUGGGAUUCCAUAAAUAUUGGGCAAAUAGUACGAGAUUUGAAAGUUACGAACCAGAUGCGUUUGGAGGCUAUAGACGUUUUUUAUAAAAAAAACGAUUACGGUUUUAAUGUACCUGAUGGUAUUGAAUGGAGAAUGUCUGGUAACUGUGAACUGACAUGGAUUUCAAACAUGGAGAUAAUGUCGAACGAUGCAACAUAGAAUUCACAAAUAAAAUUAUUAAGUAAAAAAACUUUCUUAACUAAAUGUAUAAGCUUAUAAGUUUUAACGUAUGUUGUAAUAAAUUAUUUGUCUAAACAUUCAUGUAAAUGUAAUUAAAAUGUAAAUAAUAUUUUGAUUUAAUAUUAAGAUGGAUCUCCUAUAUGAUGACCCCCCCCCCUUUAUUUGCUAUUGACAUAUGUCGCAUACCACUGCAUCAAUUAAAAUAUUUUGCUCUCUGAUGUGUCUGACUAAAGUUAAUAAAAUAUGUUCUAAAAAUAUGAA
Molecule: RNA transcript, 1401 nt
Organism: Biomphalaria glabrata
Lineage: Eukaryota; Metazoa; Mollusca; Gastropoda; Planorbidae
Exons: 7
Source: RefSeq, a predicted model, not a curated record